This is a long non-coding RNA of Cairina moschata (Muscovy duck), 3048 nucleotides long. The record is from Ensembl. NCBI's taxonomy places the organism in Eukaryota, Metazoa, Chordata, Aves, Anseriformes, Anatidae.
CUAGCCUGAUGAUUUCUGUGACAACCCCCACCUUUUGCAUUGCAAAGAAUAGUGAGUAAUACUCCCUGCUGAGUUUUUAAAAAGCACUUUUGAUAAUAAUUCUUGACAUCCUUCAUGAUUUUCUUCAAUCAUGUACCUCCUUUUUCAAGAUACUGAUGUUGGUAGCCAGGAAGACAACACAGAUGCUUUGGGUCUCAGACCCAGAUGUUUCGGUGGUGGUGACAGCACCUGUGCCGCCUCCAUUGGCAGCACUGGCAGCCCCAACACAACAGCUGUCAUUGCUCAGCCCUCAGAGGAGCAAACAAAUCUGGUCUUCCUGUGCUGGGGGCCCAGGCAGCAACCUGAACGGGACACAGAGACUGUUCUCCAUUGCAAAGCUACCUCAGAAACUCAACGGAAAGCACGAGUGAAAUCACUCAUAUUUUACUACCUUUGUUCUCUGAAAAGCAGGGGGGGAGGAGGAGGGAGGAAGGACACAGCCUGUUACAACAAAACAGGUGGUAGGUGGGUUUUUUUUUUCUUUUUUUUUUUCUUCUUUGGACUUUUUGUCCAUGUACAUUAGAAUCUGUAACAUGGUAAAGAUCAGAGAUGGGGACAUCUUCCCAGUCAGGUACCCACCCAGAGUGGGGGAGAAACAGCAAUAGCUCUGAAAUUUUGACAGCAAGAGAUACAGGGAAUUUGUCUAAACUGAAAUAGUGAGCAGACUUCCCUGUGCAACUGAAUCUUUCACCAAGCCCUUGCGGUAAUUUCACCUUAGUGUUUUGUUUCACAUUUGUUAACAUGGAUCGGGUAGCCCUUCUCUUGAUGACUUUGCACGUAUGCCUUAAAAAAGACAGGAUGAAGAUGGAGAAGAAUUUGAAAUAUGUGAUAGUUGCAGACCGAUUCUGUUUAUUUGUGUUAGUAAACAUUUUAUUUCAGGCUCAAUGCAUUCAGCCUUAUGUCUGCAUAAACAUAGGAGCCUCAACGGUUCAGUGAGGCAUCAGUGCUUCAUUAAAAUUCUCCAGGUAAAAUUCGGGACUUUCCUGUAAUCAAUGAGUAGACAGAGGAUACAGGGUUUUGUUUGCAGGUUGUUUUUGUCUUUUUUCAAUUGGUAGGUAGCUAUUACUGCUGAGAAGAGGGGAAAUAUAAUGCGAGUGGCAAAAUCUGGAUGAUGGUUGUAUUACCAAAAAGCAGGGAAUACAAUCAAGUGCAGAAGACAAGGACAAGUUCUUUGACAAGAUUAAGCUGCAUGCUGAAGAGCUGCCUGUCCAGGAUGAUGCAACACACCCAACCCAAUUAUCCAGGCUAUUUAAAUUUGAAAAAUUCCUGAUUCAGUCAGAAUUUGAUUGAAAGUGUUUGUAGAAAGGUGGCCAUUAAAGAUUAGCAAUAGAGAGCAGGAAGGCAUAUGUAUAUAUAUUUUCCUUGUCAGUAAAGUAUUUCCCAGUUAUAAGAGUGUCUUGUGCCGCAUGCUGAUCUUACAGAUGGUGCAGUAAAUCAGGGCUAACUCUGAAAGUGUCAGUGGAAUUGUCUUUGUGUAACUGGUAUCCGAAUUACCCGAAUUAGUCCCUGGCUGUGAAAGACAGGGAUUGCCUUUGGGCGUAAGCACAGAUAGGAGAACUAAAGGGUGAGGUUUUUUUUUUUUUUUUUUUUUGUGCCUUGGAGUCUGACUCACUUUGUGGCUUUGAGCAUUUUGCAUAAUUCUUUUGCCUUGGUUUCCUCCCUGCAAAGUCAGCUGAUAGUUCCAGAGGAGCUCUUGAGUGGAGAACUUUGAUUAUGGAAAUUGCUUUAGAAAUGCUCGCUUAUUACCAUUAAUGGAAGUAACAUAUUACAUUAGAAAAUUUUAGCUCAGCCAAGGGAUUUGGAGGGCAAAAGGCACCCCAGAUUCACCAGCAGCUGUUUUUGAAGUACCGGCUGUUAAUCCAUACAAUGAAGAGAUGCAUAGACGGAGGACUUUCAGCUGUAAGGGAAAGAUAUCACCCAAGAGAGAAGCAAAGCAUACAAUCCUGUGACUGCAUGGGUCAGACUUCAAAACCUAGUACAAGCCCCUUGUGACUUGCAUGUGAAUUCAAUAUCAGGCAGUAGUGACCACAAGCCCUUCUUCUUUGAUGUCUGCUCAGCAUAUAUAAGAUUUGAGGGAGUUCUGCAAUAUAGCUGUAAACGUGCAGGAUUUGGGGGUCUUCUACAGCCCAGCAUGCUCUUUCCUUCUCCCUCACUGUUCUUCCAAAAGGCAAAUGUAACUUUUAGUUAAAAAUUGUGAGGAGUGAGGUCUAUAUUGUUUGCCUGUACAGUGACAGGAAUAUUUGUUAAUAAUGUGCAUGUGUGGGCACGUUACUACUAUAAUCUUAUUUCGUGUCUGAGAUGAGAUGCUCACAUACAAAAGCCUACCUGUGUACUUCAUAGGUGUUGGUGUGCUGCCAGAAGGGAGCAAGCUGGCAGCCUAGCAGCAGUGGUAGAUCAAAGCCAGGGAGUGAUGUUCUCCUAAUGUCUCAAAUAAAUAAUCAAGGACUAAGUAAAGGAAAAGAAUGCUGCUGAAUGUGUGCAGUUUCUGGAAAGAAAAAUGCAGGAGCCUGCUCACCAUGAGCGCAUCCUUCAGCUUUCUAAUAGAGGAGGCUGGGACAUGCCAAGAGCAGAAGAUUCCUGGGCUUUACUAUGACUCUGGACAUUUAAGAUGGAAUUAAUUUUGCCUAAACAGAGACAUUUAAAAGCCAGAUGUCUGGCUUCCUUCUACAAUCGGUGGAGGAAAAGGAGGUGAUUUAUCCAACCUCUCUCUGUCCCUGGGCUGUAGAGGGAGCCUAGUUAGACCAGAUACUAACUUACAGACAGCUAAAGUUAGCAAGAUGAAUUGCUCUUUUACUGCUUCAUACAUUUAAUAAAUUGCACACUUUCCCCACAGUUGUGCGUAAGGUCUCUGUUUUCCAGGGAGAAGGGAAGGUGAGGCUGAGAUGAACUGAGUUCCCUGCGGACAGUUAUCAACAGAACUGAGAUUACAACAUACAUGCACCCAGCUCCAGCCCCCCUCAAAUUAUACUGCCUCCCAGGGACACAGAACAAUUAGUCUCCAUGCAGGAA